Molecule: ribosomal RNA, 467 nt
Filed under: uncultured bacterium
Lineage: Bacteria
Description: partial 16S ribosomal RNA
Rfam family: Bacterial small subunit ribosomal RNA
Source: RNAcentral
GAUGAACGCUGGCGGCGUGCUUAACACAUGCAAGUCGAACGGAAAGGCCCAAGCUUGCUUGGGUACUCGAGUGGCGAACGGGUGAGUAACACGUGGGUGAUCUGCCCUGCACUUCGGGAUAAGCCUGGGAAACUGGGUCUAAUACCGGAUAGGACCACAUUUUGGAUGGUGUGGUGGAAAGUUUUUCGGUGUGGGAUGAGCUCGCGGCCUAUCAGCUUGUUGGUGGGGUAAUGGCCUACCAAGGCGUCGACGGGUAGCCGGCCUGAGAGGGUGUACGGCCACAGUGGGACUGAGAUACGGCCCAGACUCCUACGGGAGGCAGCAGUGGGGAAUAUUGCACAAUGGGGGCAAGCCUGAUGCAGCGACGCCGCGUGGGGGAUGACGGCCUUCGGGUUGUAAACUCCUUUCGCUAGGGACGAGGCGUUAUGUGACGGUACCUGGAGAAGAAGCACCGGCUAACUACGUGC